UACGUAGGGGGCCAGCGUUGUCCGAAGUUACUGGGCGUAAAGCGUGCGCAGACGGUCAUGUAAGUCGGGUGUGAAAGCCCCGGGCUCAACCUGGGAAUUGCAUUCGAGACUGUGUGGCUAGGGUGCGGAAGAGGGAAGCGGAAUUUCCGGUGUAGCGGUGAAAUGCGUAGAUAUCGGAAGGAACACCAGUGGCGAAAGCGGCUUCCUGGUCCAGCACCGACGUCAGGCACGAAAGCGUGGGGAGCAAACAG
This 251-nucleotide ribosomal RNA is filed under the name uncultured bacterium. RNAcentral describes it as "partial 16S ribosomal RNA". It matches the Rfam family "Bacterial small subunit ribosomal RNA", at positions 524 to 775 of the family's 1533-position model. The record is from RNAcentral.